RNAcentral lists this long non-coding RNA (225 nucleotides) under Elaeis guineensis (African oil palm). Its description in RNAcentral is "long non-coding RNA (EGUI_LNC015875)". Lineage: Eukaryota; Viridiplantae; Streptophyta; Magnoliopsida; Arecales; Arecaceae. The record is from RNAcentral.
GAUUAAAUAUCAUACGGAUUAGAUUUUUGAGUAAAAUGAUCAACAAGUAGUAUUCAUUUUAAUCUAAAUUAUUUUUUUAAUAUUUAUUUUAUUUUUUUAUUUAUUUUAAUUAAAAAUUAUAAAUUAAAUUAUUGUAUUUAUAGUUUGUUUUAUCUUGAAAUCUAUCAUUAUGGUGGUUAUUCUUCUACAUUUACAAAAUUAAUAGGUUUGGACAUCACCCAGCCA